ACGCGAAGAACCUUACCUACCUUUGAAUCCNCGAAAUNUUCUAGAAAUAGAGGAGNGCCUUCGGGAAUCGUGUGACAGNUGNUGCAUGNNUGUCGUCAGCUCGUGUCGUGAGAUGUUGGGUUAAGUCCCGUAACGGGCGCAACCCCUAUCCUUAGUUGCCAGCGAGUAAUGUCGGGGACUUUAAGGAGACCGCCGGUGAUNAAACCGGAGGAAGGUGGGGACGAUGUCAAGUCAUCAUGGCCCUUACAGGUAGGGCUACACACGUGCUACAAUGGCCAGUACAGAGGGUUGCCAACCCGCGAGGGGGAGCUAAUCUCAGAAAGCUGGUCGUAGUCCGGAUUGGAGUCUGAAACUCGACUCCANGAAGCUGGAAUCGCUAGUAAUCNCGGAUCAGAACGCCGCGGUGAAUACGUUNUCAGGCCUUGUACACACCGCCCGUCAAGCUAUGGGAGUGGGUUGUACCAGAAGCAGGUAGACUAACCUNNGGNG
Molecule: ribosomal RNA, 489 nt
Filed under: uncultured bacterium
Lineage: Bacteria
Description: partial 16S ribosomal RNA
Rfam family: Bacterial small subunit ribosomal RNA
Source: RNAcentral